Molecule: small nuclear RNA, 93 nt
Filed under: Myotis lucifugus (little brown bat)
Lineage: Eukaryota; Metazoa; Chordata; Mammalia; Chiroptera; Vespertilionidae
Description: U2 spliceosomal RNA
Rfam family: U2 spliceosomal RNA
About the family: U2 is a small nuclear RNA (snRNA) component of the spliceosome (involved in pre-mRNA splicing). Complementary binding between U2 snRNA (in an area lying towards the 5' end but 3' to hairpin I) and the branchpoint sequence (BPS) of the intron results the bulging out of an unpaired adenosine, on the BPS, which initiates a nucleophilic attack at the intronic 5' splice site, thus starting the first of two transesterification reactions that mediate splicing.
Source: Rfam by way of RNAcentral
AUCGCUUCUCGGCCUUUUGGCUAAGAUCAAGUGUAGUAAAUGCACUAAACUUCUAAGAUAAAACCUCACUUUAGAUUAGGUGCUGAAGCUUAU